Long non-coding RNA from Oncorhynchus keta (chum salmon), 4318 nucleotides. RefSeq lists it as uncharacterized. NCBI's taxonomy places the organism in Eukaryota, Metazoa, Chordata, Actinopteri, Salmoniformes, Salmonidae. The transcript has 3 exons. The record is from RefSeq and is a predicted model, not a curated record.
GAGAGAGAGAGAGAGAGAGAGAGAGAGAGAGAGACAGGAGUGUUAGAGUUGUGGGGUGAAUCUACAUGUGUCAGUGUGUAAUAAAGUGCAUUUAUAACAGUUCAUGGACUUAAAAUGGCUGAAAUAAUGAUUACACAUCCAUCUCAAUGUGGUCCACAGCUCUUUCUCAAUGGUCUUUCCUUGAUUCCUUGUGUCUUCUUUUCUCACCUCCUGCUCAAAAGGCAUUGGAGGAGAAGAUCAAAAAGUCCAGACACAAGCAUUCGAGGACAGCCAAUUGAGAAAGAACCCUGGUGCAAGAGCUAUCCAUCAGGCAUCCCCCCCAGCCAACCAAUGUAGAAUCCUGGGGCUGUUCAACAAACUAGCCACCCCACCACAGAAGGCCCCACUCCUCAACACCACCCCCCCUGCAUCUGGCCAGCAGACAAUGCCCCCCUACAGUCUCAUCAGCCUGGGUGUUUGCUCUCUGUGGCGAGAGAGGAGGCUGAGAGUCUAAGUUAGGGACCGGAGAAAUGGUGGAGAGGUAGGUGGGAUAGGAUGGAGAGGUAGGUGGGAUAGGGUGGAGAGGUAGGUGGGAUAGGGUGGAGAGGUAGGUGGGAUAGGGUGGAGAGGUAGGUGGGAUAGGGUGGAGAGGUAGGUGGGAUAGGGUGGAGAGGUAGGUGGGAUAGGGUGGAGUGGUAGGUGGGAUAGGGUGGAGAGGUAGGUGGGAUAGGGUGGAGAGGUAGGUGGGAUAGGGUGGAGAGGUAGGUGGGAUAGGGUGGAGAGGUAGGUGGGAUAGGGUGGAGAGGUAGGUGGGAUAGGGUGGAGAGGUAGGUGGGAUAGGGUGGAGAGGUAGGUGGGAUAGGGUGGAGUGGUAGGUGGGAUAGGGUGGAGAGGUAGGUGGGAUAGGGUGGAGAGGUAGGUGGGAUAGGGUGGAGAGGUAGGUGGGAUAGGGUGGAGAGGUAGGUGGGAUAGGGUGGAGAGGUAGGUGGGAUAGGGUGGAGAGGUAGGUGGGAUAGGGUGGAGAGGUAGGUGGGAUAGGGUGGAGAGGUAGGUGGGAUAGGGUGGAGAGGUAGGUGGGAUAGGGUGGAGAGGUAGGUGGGAUAGGGUGGAGAGGUAGGUGGGAUAGGGUGGAGAGGUAGGUGGGAUAGGGUGGAGAGGUAGGUGGGAUAGGGUGGAGAGGUAGGUGGGAUAGGGUGGAGAGGUAGGUGGGAUAGGGUGGAGAGGUAGGUGGGAUAGGGUGGAGUGGUAGGUUGGGGUGAGGUUAGGGGGGUAUUGGGGUAGAGGGGUGGUGUGAAGUUAGAGGGUAUUGGACAGGAUGAUAGAGGGAGACGUGGGUAUGAACAGUCAGCCAAUGCAGCUCUCCCCAAACUUGGGUCUGGUGAGGGUGAGCAAAUAGAGGGUGAGAGGUCCUAUUGAGGGCCCUGAGGGUGUUGGACGUUCCCUAGUCACCCACACAAACCAAGCACACACACACCAAGCACACCACACACACACACGCACCAAGCACACACACUUGCCCUCAGAUCACCUAAAGCUAAAUUUGUCAUUAUUUGUUGUCACCAUCUCAUUCACAAUAGGAUACAUGACACUACUUUACGGAGAUAACUGUGAACAGAGCAGGGUCUUCAAAUCUCAUCCUAUAUGAGGUCCGGACUACUGCUGGUUCUCUCUUCUACCUGAUAAUGAAUUGCACUCACCUGGUGUCCCAGGUCUAAAUCAUUCCCUGAUUAGAGGGGAAGAAUAGAAAAAAAGCAACAGAACUGGCUUGGAGGUCCAGAUUACAAUGAGGGACAUGUAGACAGUGUGACAUAUAGCUAAUGUACAAAACAUUAGGUACACCUAUAUGUACACAGUGGUAGGUGUAUUAUAUCUAUAUAUAUAUAUAUAUACACACAUAUAAACUGAGUGUACAAAACAUUAGGUACACCUAUAUGUACACAGUGAAUUUGGAAGGUAUUCAGACCCCUUGACUUUAUUCACAUUUUGUUACGUUACAGCCUUAUUCUAAAAUGUAUUUUACAUUGUUUUCCCCUCAUUGAUCUACACACAGUACCCUAUAAAACAGAAAUACCUUAUUGACAUAAGUAUUCACUCUCUUUGCUGUGAGUUGAGCUCAGGUGUAUCCGUUUUCCAUUGAUCAUCCUUGAGAUGUUUCUACAACUUGGAGUCCACCUGUGGUAAAUUCAAUUGAUUGGACAUGAUUUGGAAAGGCACACACCUGUUUAUAUAAGGUCCCACAGUUGACAGUGCAUGUCAGAGCAAAAACCAAGCCUUGAGGUUGAAGGAAUUGUCCGUAGAGCUCCGAGAUAGGAUUGUGUCGAGGCACAGAUCUGCUGAAGGGUUCCAAAAAAAUGUCUGCAGCAUUGAAGGUCCCCAAGAACACAGUGGCCUCCAUCAUUCUUAAAUGGAAGAAGUUUGGAACCACCAAGACUCUUCCUUGAGCUGGCCGCCCAGCCAAACUGAGAAAUCAGGGGAGAAGGGGCUUGGUCAGGGAGGUGACCAAGAACCCGAUGGUCAAUCUGACAGAGUUCCAGAGUUCCUCUGUGGAGAUGGUUGUCCUUAUGGAAGGUUCUCCCAUCUCUGCAGCACUCCACCAAUCAGGCCUUUAUGAUAGAGUGGCCAGAUGGAAGCCACUCCUCAUUAAAAGGAACAUGUCAGGACGCUUAGAGUUGCCAAAAGACACCUAAAGACUCUCAGACCAUGAGAAACAAGAUUCUCUGUUCUGAUGAAACCAAGAUUGAACCCAAGCGCAUUGUCUGGAGGAAACCUGGCACCAUCCCUACGGUGAAGCAUGCUCAUGGCAGCAUCAUGCUGUGGGGAUGUUUUUCAGCGCCAGGGACUGGGAGACUAGUCAGGAUUGAGAGAAAGAUGAACAAAGCAAAGUACAGAGAGAUCCUUGAUGAAAACCUGCCCCAGAGUGCUCAGGAUCUCAGACUGGGGUGAAGGUUCAUCUUCCAACAGGACAACGACCCUAACCACACAGCCAAGACAACACAAGGGUGUAUUUGGGACAAGUCUCUGAAUGUCCUUGAGUGGCCCAGCCAGAGCCCGGACUUGAACCCGUUUUAACAUCUCUGGAGAGUCCUGAAAUUGGCUGUGCAGCGACGCUCCCGAUCUAACCGAACAGAGCUUGAGAGGAUCUGCAGAGAACAAUGGGUGAAACUCCCCAAAUACAGGUGUGCCAAGCUUGUAGCGUCAUACCCAAGAAGACUCAAGGCAGUAAUCACUGCCAAAGGUGCUUCAACAAAGUACUGAGUAAAGGGUAUGAAUACUUGUGAAAAUGUGAUAUUUCAGAUUAUUUUUAUGAAUUUGCAAACAUUUCUAAAAACCUAUUUUUGCUUUGUCAUUAUGGGUUAUUGUGUGUAGAUUAAUGAGGAAAAAAACAAUUUAAUCAAUUUUAGAAUAAGGCUGUAAUGUAACAAAAUGUGGAAAAAGUCACGGAGUCUGAAUACUUUCCGAAUGUAGUGUAUACACUACCAUUCAAAAGUUUGUGGUCACAUAAAUGUCCUUGUUUUUUAAAGAAAAGCUCAUUUUUUGUCCAUCAAAUUGAUCAGAAAUACAGUGUAGACAUUGUUAAUGUUGUAAAUGAGUAUUGUAGCUGGAAACGGCUGAUUUUUUAUGGAAUAUCUACAUAGGCGUACAGAGGCCCAUUAUCAGCAACCAUCACUCCUGUGUUCCAAUGGCACUUUGUUUAAGCUAAUCCAAGUUUAUAAUUUUAAAAGGCUAAUUGAUCAUUAGAAAACCCCUUUGCAAUUAUGUUAGCACAGCUGAAAAUUGUUGUCCUGAUUAAAGAAGCAAAAGAACUGGCCUUCUUUAAACUAGUUGAGUAUCUGGAGCAUCAGAAUAUGUAGGUUCGAUAACAGGCUCAAAAUGGCCAGAAACAAGGAACUUUCUUCUGAAACUCAUCAGUCUAUUCUUGUUCUAAGAAAUGAAGUCUAUUCCAUGCGAGAAAUUGUCAAGAAACUGAAGAUCUCGUACAAUGCUGUGUACUACUCCCUUCACAGAACAUUUCAAACUGGCUCUAACCAGAAUAGAAAGAGUGGGAGGCCCCUGCACAACUGAGCAAAAGGACAAGUAUAUUAGAAUGUCUAGUUUGAGAAACAGAUGCCUCACAUGUCCUCAACUGGCAGCUUCAUUAAAUAGUAUCCACAAAACACCAGUCUCAACAUCAACAGUGAAGAAGCGACUCCGGGACACUGGCCUUCUAGGCAGAGCUCCUCUGUCCAGUGUCUGUGUUCUUUUGCCCAUCUUAAUCUUUUCUUUUUAUUGGCCUGUCUGAGAUAUGGCUUUUUCUUUGCAACUCUGCCUAGAAUGCCAGCAUGCUGGAGUCACCUCUUCA